GGUUAAGCGACUAAGCGUACACGGUGGAUGCCCUGGCAGUCAGAGGCGAUGAAGGACGUGCUAAUCUGCGAAAAGCGUCGGUAAGGUGAUAUGAACCGUUAUAACCGGCGAUGUCCGAAUGGGGAAACCCAGUGCAAUUCGUUGCACUAUCGUUAACUGAAUACAUAGGUUAACGAGGCGAACCGGGGGAACUGAAACAUCUAAGUACCCCGAGGAAAAGAAAUCAACCGAGAUUCCCCCAGUAGCGGCGAGCGAACGGGGAGCAGCCCAGAGUCUGAAUCAGCUUGUGUGUUAGUGGAACGGUCUGGAAAGUCCGACGGUACAGGGUGAUAGUCCCGUACACCAAAAUGCACAGGCUGUGAACUCGAAGAGUAGGGCGGGACACGUGGUAUCCUGUCUGAAUAUGGGGGGACCAUCCUCCAAGGCUAAAUACUCCUGACUGACCGAUAGUGAACCAGUACCGUGAGGGAAAGGCGAAAAGAACCCCGGCGAGGGGAGUGAAAAAGAACCUGAAACCGUGUACGUACAAGCAGUGGGAGCACCUUCGGGUGUGACUGCGUACCUUUUGUAUAAUGGGUCAGCGACUUAUAUUCUGUAGCAAGGUUAACCGUAUAGGGGAGCCGCAGGGAAACCGAGUCUUAACUGGGCGUUAAGUUGCAGGGUAUAGACCCGAAACCCGGUGAUCUAGCCAUGGGCAGGUUGAAGGUUGGGUAACACUAACUGGAGGACCGAACCGACUAAUGUUGAAAAAUUAGCGGAUGACUUGUGGCUGGGGGUGAAAGGCCAAUCAAACCGGGAGAUAGCUGGUUCUCCCCGAAAGCUAUUUAGGUAGCGCCUCGUGAACUCAUCUUCGGGGGUAGAGCACUGUUUCGGCUAGGGGGUCAUCCCGACUUACCAACCCGAUGCAAACUACGAAUACCGAAGAAUGUUAUCACGGGAGACACACGGCGGGUGCUAACGUCCGUCGUGAAGAGGGAAACAACCCAGACCGCCAGCUAAGGUCCCAAAGUCAUGGUUAAGUGGGAAACGAUGUGGGAAGGCACAGACAGCCAGGAUGUUGGCUUAGAAGCAGCCAUCAUUUAAAGAAAGCGUAAUAGCUCACUGGUCGAGUCGGCCUGCGCGGAAGAUGUAACGGGGCUAAACCAUGCACCGAAGCUGCGGCAGCGACACUAUGUGUUGUUGGGUAGGGGAGCGUUCUGUAAGCCUGCGAAGGUGUGCUGUGAGGCAUGCUGGAGGUAUCAGAAGUGCGAAUGCUGACAUAAGUAACGAUAAAGCGGGUGAAAAGCCCGCUCGCCGGAAGACCAAGGGUUCCUGUCCAACGUUAAUCGGGGCAGGGUGAGUCGACCCCUAAGGCGAGGCCGAAAGGCGUAGUCGAUGGGAAACAGGUUAAUAUUCCUGUACUUGGUGUUACUGCGAAGGGGGACGGAGAAGGCUAUGUUAGCCGGGCGACGGUUGUCCCGGUUUAAGCAUGUAGGCUGGUUAUCCAGGCAAAUCCGGAUAAUCAAGGCUGAGGUGUGAUGACGAGGCACUACGGUGCUGAAGUAACAAAUGCCCUGCUUCCAGGAAAAGCCUCUAAGCAUCAGGUAACAUCAAAUCGUACCCCAAACCGACACAGGUGGUCAGGUAGAGAAUACCAAGGCGCUUGAGAGAACUCGGGUGAAGGAACUAGGCAAAAUGGUGCCGUAACUUCGGGAGAAGGCACGCUGGUGUGUAGGUGAAGCCCCUGCGGGUGGAGCUGAGACCAGUCGAAGAUACCAGCUGGCUGCAACUGUUUAUUAAAAACACAGCACUGUGCAAACACGAAAGUGGACGUAUACGGUGUGACGCCUGCCCGGUGCCGGAAGGUUAAUUGAUGGGGUUAUCCGUAAGGAGAAGCUCUUGAUCGAAGCCCCGGUAAACGGCGGCCGUAACUAUAACGGUCCUAAGGUAGCGAAAUUCCUUGUCGGGUAAGUUCCGACCUGCACGAAUGGCGUAAUGAUGGCCAGGCUGUCUCCACCCGAGACUCAGUGAAAUUGAACUCGCUGUGAAGAUGCAGUGUACCCGCGGCAAGACGGAAAGACCCCGUGAACCUUUACUAUAGCUUGACACUGAACAUUGAGCCUUGAUGUGUAGGAUAGGUGGGAGGCUUUGAAGCGUGGACGCCAGUCUGCGUGGAGCCAACCUUGAAAUACCACCCUUUAAUGUUUGAUGUUCUAACGUUGGCCCCUUACCGGGGUUGCGGACAGUGUCUGGUGGGUAGUUUGACUGGGGCGGUCUCCUCCCAAAGCGUAACGGAGGAGCACGAAGGUUAGCUAAUCCUGGUCGGACAUCAGGAGGUUAGUGCAAUGGCAUAAGCUAGCUUGACUGCGAGCGUGACGGCGCGAGCAGGUGCGAAAGCAGGUCAUAGUGAUCCGGUGGUUCUGAAUGGAAGGGCCAUCGCUCAACGGAUAAAAGGUACUCCGGGGAUAACAGGCUGAUACCGCCCAAGAGUUCAUAUCGACGGCGGUGUUUGGCACCUCGAUGUCGGCUCAUCACAUCCUGGGGCUGAAGUAGGUCCCAAGGGUAUGGCUGUUCGCCAUUUAAAGUGGUACGCGAGCUGGGUUUAGAACGUCGUGAGACAGUUCGGUCCCUAUCUGCCGUGGGCGCUGGAGAAUUGAGGGGGCUGCUCCUAGUACGAGAGGACCGGAGUGGACGCAUCACUGGUGUUCGGGUUGUCAUGCCAAUGGCACUGCCCGGUAGCUAAAUGCGGAAGAGAUAAGUGCUGAAAGCAUCUAAGCACGAAACUUGCCCCGAGAUGAGUUCUCCCUGAGACUUUAAGUCUCCUGAAGGAACGUUGAAGACGACGACGUUGAUAGGCCGGGUGUGUAAGCGCAGCGAUGCGUUGAGCUAACCGGUACUAAUGAACCGUGAGGCUUAACCUU
This 2900-nucleotide ribosomal RNA is filed under the name Klebsiella pneumoniae. RNAcentral's name for it is "23S ribosomal RNA". It matches the Rfam family "Bacterial large subunit ribosomal RNA". Lineage: Bacteria; Pseudomonadati; Pseudomonadota; Gammaproteobacteria; Enterobacterales; Enterobacteriaceae. The record is from RNAcentral.